UCAUGAUGACAGGAGCUCUUCCAUCAUGUCCUUGAUGCUUUGUCAAUAUGUGCCUACAGCAUCGCCUACAGAAGACCAACCCAGCUGCUGCUGUUAUUUCACUCCAGGAAUUGGCUGUCCUGUUCUUUCUAUCAGCUUGUUUGUCUGGGUGGUCUGGGAUAACUGACAUCGGUGAGAAAAACAUUCUUUUUUCAUAGUGUGAUUUAUUUUUAUUUUUUAGCCCAGACCAUUUCACUCAGCUUGCUUAGGCAGUGCACACAGGAAGACCUGGAAGGGCAAGCAGAAGAGCAGCAGUCAGCAGGACAUGUGGAGAAGCAGAGCAGCUCCAGGCAAUGCCCUCCUACCUCCAUGUGUCUUCGCUGGCCCAGGAUCAUCAGCAGCCAGAUAUAAAAUGAAAAAUGAACAAAAAAGGACACAAUUUUGCAACUACCUGUGGAACUCAUCUACACUUGGCUUCAGAACACAAGACGACUAAACACAAGAUGAAUAAAAGAUGAGAGG
Molecule: long non-coding RNA, 501 nt
Filed under: Struthio camelus australis
Lineage: Eukaryota; Metazoa; Chordata; Aves; Struthioniformes; Struthionidae
Description: lncRNA (ENSSCUG00000011382.1)
Source: RNAcentral